Molecule: long non-coding RNA, 348 nt
Organism: Melitaea cinxia (Glanville fritillary)
Lineage: Eukaryota; Metazoa; Arthropoda; Insecta; Lepidoptera; Nymphalidae
Exons: 2
Source: RefSeq, a predicted model, not a curated record
UGGUUGUGUGCAAGUUUCGUAAGUUCUUGCGCGGCUAUUUUUCUGUUUAAUAUAUUGAUACCUUUCUGUUGUAAAACCUCUAUCCUAUUGUGUUUUGUGUUGUGUGAUUGUCAUUCUGUAGAGCAACAGUUUCUUUCAAUAUCGGUAAAAAAAAAAAAACAUUUUUCUUUUUAUUUAACUUGUACUUCCACAAUUAUUGAUAAAUAGCAAAGUCAGUCUUGUCAAUGUCCUAACUGAACAACAGACACUCACCGAACAUUGAAACAUCUACUCUGAUACUGGCAAUUCCGCAAGGGUGCUAAAGCCAAAGAAGAAGAAGAAGAAGAAUUAAAAAAAAAAAACAUUUUU